This 465-nucleotide ribosomal RNA is filed under the name uncultured bacterium. RNAcentral describes it as "bacterial SSU rRNA". It matches the Rfam family "Bacterial small subunit ribosomal RNA", at positions 338 to 795 of the family's 1533-position model. The record is from RNAcentral.
CCUACGGGACGCACCAGUGGGGAAUAUUGCACAAUGGGCGCAAGCCUGAUGCAGCCAUGCCGCGUGUAUGAAGAAGGCCUUCGGGUUGUAAAGUACUUUCAGCGGGGAGGAAGGUGUUGUGGUUAAUAACCGCAGCAAUUGACGUUACCCGCGGAAGAAGCACCGGCUAACUCCGUGCCAGCAGCCGCGGUAAUACGGAGGGUGCAAGCGUUAAUCGGAAUUACUGGGCGUAAAGCGCACGCAGGCGGUCUGUCAAGUCGGAUGUGAAAUCCCCGGGCUCAACCCGGGAACUGCACCCGAAACUGGCAGGCUUGAGUCUUGUAGAGGGGGGUAGAAUUCCAGGUGUAGCGGUGAAAUGCGUAGAGAUCUGGAGGAAUACCGGUGGCGAAGGCGGCCCCCUGGACAAAGACUGACGCUCAGGUGCGAAAGCGUGGGGAGCAAACAGGAUUAGAUACCCCUGUAGUC